This 236-nucleotide ribosomal RNA is filed under the name uncultured Candidatus Saccharibacteria bacterium. RNAcentral's name for it is "partial 16S ribosomal RNA". It matches the Rfam family "Bacterial small subunit ribosomal RNA", at positions 584 to 818 of the family's 1533-position model. Lineage: Bacteria; Candidatus Saccharimonadota. The record is from RNAcentral.
UAAGUAGGUAGUGAAAGCGUGUGGCUCAACCAUACACACAUUACCUAAACUGCUUUAGCUAGAGGAUGAGAGAGGUUAUUGGAAUUCCCUGUGUAGGAGUGAAAUCCGUAGAUAUAGGGAGGAACACCGAUGGCGUAGGCAGAUAACUGGCUCAUUCCUGACACUAAGGCACGAAAGCGUGGGGAGCAAACGGGAUUAGAUACCCCGGUAGUCCACGCCGUAAACUAUGGAUGCUA